AAGGUAGCUUGCUACUGGACCUAGCGGCGGACGGGUGAGUAAUGCUUAGGAAUCUGCCUACUAGUGGGGGACAACAUUCCGAAAGGAGUGCUAAUACCGCAUACGCCCUACGGGGGAAAGCAGGGGAUCUUCGGACCUUGCGCUAAUAGAUGAGCCUAAGUCGGAUUAGCUAGUUGGUGGGGUAAAGGCCUACCAAGGCGACGAUCUGUAGCGGGUCUGAGAGGAUGAUCCGCCACACUGGGACUGAGACACGGCCCAGACUCCUACGGGAGGCAGCAGUGGGGAAUAUUGGACAAUGGGCGGAAGCCUGAUCCAGCCAUGCCGCGUGUGUGAAGAAGGCCUUUUGGUUGUAAAGCACUUUAAGCGAGGAGGAGGCUCCUUUAGUUAAUACCUAAAGUGAGUGGACGUUACUCGCAGAAUAAGCACCGGCUAACUCUGUGCCAGCAGCCGCGGUAAUACAGAGGGUGCGAGCGUUAAUCGGAUUUACUGGGCGUAAAGCGUGCGUAGGCGGCUUUUUAAGUCGGAUGUGAAAUCCCUGAGCUUAACUUAGGAAUUGCAUUCGAUACUGGAAAGCUAGAGUAUGGGAGAGGAUGGUAGAAUUCCAGGUGUAGCGGUGAAAUGCGUAGAGACCUGGAGGAAUACCGAUGGCGAAGGCAGCCAUCUGGCCUAAUACUGACGCUGAGGUACGAAAGCAUGGGGAGCAAACAGGAUUAGAUACCCUGGUAGUCCAUGCCGUAAACGAUGUCUACUAGCCGUUGGGGCCUUUGAGGCUUUAGUGGCGCAGCU
Molecule: ribosomal RNA, 786 nt
Filed under: uncultured bacterium
Lineage: Bacteria
Description: SSU rRNA
Rfam family: Bacterial small subunit ribosomal RNA
Source: RNAcentral